ACAUAGCUCUAGGAAAAAGAAGCAUCUAGAGUGGUGCCUGCCCAAUGAUUAUUUUAAUGGCUGCGGUAUCUUGACCGUACUAAGGUAGCAUAAUAAAUUGCCUUUUAAUUGGAGGCUGGAAUGAACGGCUUUAGCGUGGGAGAGCUGUCUCAGAGGAGUUAUUUCGAAUUUGGGAAUAGAGUGCAGAAACUCUAAUAAAAUUGAAGGACGAGAAGACCCUAGGAGCUGGGGGUGUUAUUGGGGUUGACCUAGAUAGACUUCUUUGUUGGGGCGACGCUGGAACAGGAGGAGCUUCCAGAUAUAAUUUAAUUAUCUGUAUCAGAACCAGGACUAACGAACCUGAAUUCAGUGCAGCUACCCUAGGGAUAACAGCAUAAUACCCGCCAUGAGCCCAAAUCAUGGCGGGUGCUUGUGACCUCGAUGUUGGACUAGGGAUUACAGGAGAGUGCAGCAGCCCUCCGCAGUUAGUCUGUUCGACUAUUAAACCCCUAC
This 492-nucleotide ribosomal RNA is filed under the name Auricorona queenslandica. Its description in RNAcentral is "partial 16S ribosomal RNA". It matches the Rfam family "Bacterial large subunit ribosomal RNA", at positions 1813 to 2599 of the family's 2925-position model. Lineage: Eukaryota; Metazoa; Mollusca; Gastropoda; Littorinimorpha; Iravadiidae. The record is from RNAcentral.